CAAAGUAUAGCUAAAGAGUUUAGUAUUUCAUUUACAUUGAAGUGAGUUAUCGUGCAAAUCGGUUUACUUUGA
RNAcentral lists this transfer RNA (72 nucleotides) under Spiralothelphusa fernandoi. RNAcentral describes it as "tRNA-Val". It matches the Rfam family "tRNA". From Rfam's summary of the family: Transfer RNA (tRNA) molecules are approximately 80 nucleotides in length. Their secondary structure includes four short double-helical elements and three loops (D, anti-codon, and T loops). Further hydrogen bonds mediate the characteristic L-shaped molecular structure. tRNAs have two regions of fundamental functional importance: the anti-codon, which is responsible for specific mRNA codon recognition, and the 3' end, to which the tRNAs corresponding amino acid is attached (by aminoacyl-tRNA synthetases). tRNAs cope with the degeneracy of the genetic code in two manners: having more than one tRNA (with a specific anti-codon) for a particular amino acid; and 'wobble' base-pairing, i.e. permitting non-standard base-pairing at the 3rd anti-codon position. The record is from RNAcentral. Lineage: Eukaryota; Metazoa; Arthropoda; Malacostraca; Decapoda; Parathelphusidae.